This 253-nucleotide ribosomal RNA is filed under the name uncultured bacterium. RNAcentral describes it as "partial 16S ribosomal RNA". It matches the Rfam family "Bacterial small subunit ribosomal RNA", at positions 524 to 776 of the family's 1533-position model. The record is from RNAcentral.
UACGUAGGGGGCAAGCGUUGUCCGGAAUUAUUGGGCGUAAAGAGCGCGUAGGCGGUCCGAUAAGUCGGCUGUGAAAGUCAGGGGCUCAACCCUUGAAAGCCGGCCGAUACUGUCGGACUAGAGUCCGGAAGAGGCGAGUGGAAUUCCCGGUGUAGCGGUGAAAUGCGCAGAUAUCGGGAGGAACACCAAUGGCGAAGGCAGCUCUCUGGGACGUUACUGACGCUGAGGCGCGAAAGCGUGGGGAGCGAACAGG